AUUGAACGCUGGCGGCAGGCUUAACACAGGCAAGUCGAGCGGGGGAAGGUAGCUUGCUACUGGACCUAGCGGCGGACGGGUGAGUAAUGCUUAGGAAUCUGCCUAUUAGUGGGGGACAACAUCUCGAAAGGGAUGCUAAUACCGCAUACGUCCUACGGGAGAAAGCAGGGGAUCUUCGGACCUUGCGCUAAUAGAUGAGACUAAGUCGGAUUAGCUAGUUGGUGGGGUAAAGGCCUACCAAGGCGACGAUCUGUAGCGGGUCUGAGAGGAUGAUCCGCCACACUGGGACUGAGACACGGCCCAGACUCCUACGGGAGGCAGCAGUGGGGAAUAUUGGACAAUGGGGGGAACCCUGAUCCAGCCAUGCCGCGUGUGUGAAGAAGGCCUUAUGGUUGUAAAGCACUUUAAGCGAGGAGGAGGCUACUCUAGUUAAUACCUAGGGAUAGUGGACGUUACUCGCAGAAUAAGCACCGGCUAACUCUGUGCCAGCCGCCGCAGUAA
Molecule: ribosomal RNA, 501 nt
Filed under: uncultured bacterium
Lineage: Bacteria
Description: partial 16S ribosomal RNA
Rfam family: Bacterial small subunit ribosomal RNA
Source: RNAcentral